UGCAGUCUGCAACUCGAGUGCAUGAAGCUGGAAUCGCUAGUAAUCGCGGAUCAGAAUGCCGCGGUGAAUACGUUCCCGGGUCUUGUACACACCGCCCGUCACCACCAUGGGAGCCGACAACGCCCGAAGUCAGUGACCUAACCGAGAGGGAGGAGCUGCCGAAGGCGGGGUUGGUAACUGGGGUGAAGUCGUAACAAGGUAGC
RNAcentral lists this ribosomal RNA (203 nucleotides) under uncultured bacterium. Its description in RNAcentral is "partial 16S ribosomal RNA". It matches the Rfam family "Bacterial small subunit ribosomal RNA", at positions 1299 to 1500 of the family's 1533-position model. The record is from RNAcentral.